Sesamum indicum (sesame) is the source of this 1145-nucleotide non-coding RNA. NCBI's taxonomy places the organism in Eukaryota, Viridiplantae, Streptophyta, Magnoliopsida, Lamiales, Pedaliaceae. The record is from RefSeq and is a predicted model, not a curated record.
GUAGUAAUUUUUACUGAUAUCAAGUAGAACACUGAUACUAAUACUAAUACUAAUACUACGGCUACUAGUACGCCCGAUGAAACAGACGAGGUGACUUUGAUACGCUAUUCACAACAAUCAGACUUUGAGCGAGAUAUAAUCAAAGGUUCUAUGCGGGCUCAAAGUAAAAUAGUUAUUUAAAAAUUGUUUCAAACAAAUGCACAUUCCCCUCUUUUUUUGGACAGAAUCAAAAAAUUGCAUCUUUUUUCUUUUGAUAUCUCCGGGUUGAUUAAACUAAUUUUUAGAAAUUGGUUGGGGAAAGGAAAAGCAUUCAAAAUUGUAGAGUAUACAGAAGAGCAAGCAAAAAUAGAAUAAAAAAAAAGAGAAGAACAAAAUAAAAGAGCAAGCGCGAAUAGAGAUAGCAAAGUUCUGGGAUACCGUUCUUCCAUUUUCGCAAGGAAUAAGAGGUUGCAUGUUACUAACUCGCUCUAUUUUUAAAAAAUAUAUUCUAUUCACUUCAUUGAUAAUUGCGAAAAAAUAUUAGACGUAUAUUCCUAUUUCAACGUCCUGAGUGGUCUCAGAAUUUCCAAGAAUUGAAUAGAGUAAUGCAUGUUAAAUGUACCUAUAAUGGUGUUCCAUUAUCCGAAACAGAAUUUUCAAGAAAUUGGUUGACAGACGGUAUUCAGAUAAAAAUCUUAUUUCCUUUCUGUUUGAAACCUUGGCACAAAUCGAAACAACAAUCCUCUCAAAAAGAUCUAAUGAAAAAAGAAAAAGAUAAUUUUUGUUUUUUAACAAUUUGGAGAAUGCAAGCUCAAGUUCGUUUUGGAUCGCCCCGACAACGACCUUCCUUUUUUAACCCAUCUUUAAGGAACUCAAAAAAAAAAUUGAAAAAUUAAAAAAUAAGUAUUUUCGAGCUCUAAUAGUUCUCAGAGAAAAAACAAAACAAUAGGUUAUGAAAAGUGUUAUUUUUAUAAAAAACAUAAUAAAAUAACUUUCAAAAGUAAAUCCAAUUUUAUUAUUUCGAUUAAGCGAAGUAGAAGUAUAUGAAUCGAGUGAAAUUAAAGAAGAAAAAGAUUCCAUAAUCAGCAAUCAGAUGAUCCACGAAUCAUUUAAUCAAAUUGCAUAUCCGAGUAAUGCUAAAAGAUUCAAAAAAAUGGCAAAAUAUU